Molecule: ribosomal RNA, 253 nt
Filed under: uncultured bacterium
Lineage: Bacteria
Description: partial 16S ribosomal RNA
Rfam family: Bacterial small subunit ribosomal RNA
Source: RNAcentral
GACGAACCGUGCGAACGUUGUUCGGAAUCACUGGGCUUAAAGGGUGCGUAGGCGGCCAAGCCAGUCGGGCGUGAAAUACCUCGGCUCAACCGAGGAAUUGCGUCCGAUACUACUUGGCUCGAGGGAGAUAGGGGCGCGUGGAACUUCGGGUGGAGCGGUGAAAUGCGUUGAGAUCCGAAGGAACACCGGUGGCGAAGGCGACGCGCUGGGUCUCUUCUGACGCUGAGGCACGAAAGCUAGGGUAGCGAACGGG